This 256-nucleotide ribosomal RNA is filed under the name uncultured bacterium. RNAcentral describes it as "partial 16S ribosomal RNA". It matches the Rfam family "Bacterial small subunit ribosomal RNA", at positions 521 to 776 of the family's 1533-position model. The record is from RNAcentral.
UAAGACGUAGGAGGCGAGCGUUAUCCGGAUUCACUGGGCGUAAAGCGCAUGUAGGCGGUUUGUUAAGUCCGGUGUUAAAGCCCCUGGCUCAACUGGGGGAGGUCAUUGGAGACUAACAGACUUGAGGGCAACAGAGGCACGUGGAACUCCCGGUGUAGCGGUGGAAUGCGUAGAGAUCGGGAAGAACACCAGUGGCGAAGGCGACGUGCUGGGUUGCAACUGACGCUGAGAUGCGAAAGUGUGGGGAGCAAACGGG